RNAcentral lists this small RNA (25 nucleotides) under Bombyx mori (domestic silkworm). RNAcentral describes it as "ovarian small RNA-19029". Lineage: Eukaryota; Metazoa; Arthropoda; Insecta; Lepidoptera; Bombycidae. The record is from RNAcentral.
UAACUGGUAAAACGGAAAUGUUAGC